GACGAACGCUGGCGGCGUGCUUAACACAUGCAAGUCGAACGAUGAAGAAGAGAAACGCGAACUUCGGUUCAAAUUUCACUUCGGAUUAGUGGCAGACGGGUGAGUAACGCGUGAGCAACCUACCUCUUACAAAGGGAUAGCCUCGGGAAACCGUGAUUAAUACCAUAUGACACAUUCAUAAGGCAUCUUAAGAAUGUUAAAGCUACGGCGGUAAAAGAUGGGCUCGCGUCCCAUUAGCUAGUUGGUGAGGUAACGGCCCACCAAGGCGACGAUGGGUAACCGGCCUGAGAGGGUGAACGGUCACAUUGGAACUGAGACACGGUCCAAACUCCUACGGGAGGCAGCAGUGGGGAAUAUUGCACAAUGGAGGGAACUCUGAUGCAGCGACGCCGCGUGAGCGAUGAAGGAAUUCGUUUCGUAAAGCUCUGUUCUAUGGGAAGAAAAGGACUGUACCAUAGGAGAAAGCCCCGGCUAAAUACGUG
Molecule: ribosomal RNA, 482 nt
Filed under: uncultured bacterium
Lineage: Bacteria
Description: partial 16S ribosomal RNA
Rfam family: Bacterial small subunit ribosomal RNA
Source: RNAcentral